This is a long non-coding RNA of Tripterygium wilfordii, 1347 nucleotides long. RefSeq lists it as uncharacterized. The transcript has 2 exons. The record is from RefSeq and is a predicted model, not a curated record. Lineage: Eukaryota; Viridiplantae; Streptophyta; Magnoliopsida; Celastrales; Celastraceae.
ACGGCCGAUCUUGUUCUUCUCCGUUCCCUUUCGAGCUUUGCCUUCUCCGUUCACUCUCUUUCCUCUCCCACGCCAACAACCCCAACUCCUCAUUCUUCUUCUCUUUCAAAAUAAAAUCUCCACCACCAUCGAUUUCAACGGAGGGUUGCAAAAAGCUCCCUUAUCAAGAGAAAAGGGAUCAAUCAAGAUGUCAUGACUGUUUGGGAGGUGGUUGGGCGAGGGAAUAGAGACGUUUGUUGCGACAGUGGAAGUGGUGGGUAGGUGGGUUAUUCGGGGCUUCAUAUUGAUCUUGCCGUUGAAGUAGAUUGUGGUGAUGGUGGUGCUGCCAUGGCAGCCAUGGCUGAGUGGUCGUAGAUUUAAGGUUUAAGAGGGCACUGGGCAGUUCGAGCCUUCGAGGUGCUGAUGUGCAGCCGUGCAGGUGCAGUUCGGCGACGGUGUUGAUACAGUCGUGCAAGUCCAGAUCCAGUGGCAGUCUGGCAGAGUAGCAGUAGUCGUUCCUCUUUGAGAGGUGUUGAUGUGCAGGUUUACCGAUUUGAGAGAGAGAAGCAGACAAGCAAUGGGUUUUACUAUUAUAUAGAGAGAAAUUGUGAGAUUGAGAUUCGAGAAGUGAUCAAGUGAGUGAGAUUGUGAGAAGUUGAGAACCAGAAAUUGUGAGCUUGUGAUUUGUGAAGAAUAGAAUGUGUAAGGGGGGUAUUUGUAGGUUGAAUGGUUGAGCAACGGUCGGAAUUGCAUUUGCUUCAACGGCAACCUGCAAGGCUGCAACUGGUUUUGAAUCUCAUCUCAGGAGCUUCUGAAAGAUAAGUUGCAUCUUGGGAACCCUCAAUUCCCUUCGCAGUGGCUCUUGAAAUCAAAGGCUCCUCCUAAAUGUAUUUUUUUCUGCUGGGAGGUCGUUUGGGGGAGAAUCCUAACUGAACAUUUGCAAAGGAGAGACAUAUCUAUGGUGAAAAGAUGUAGUCUCUGUAGAGCUAACUUGGAAUCUAUUAACCAUCUUUUAUUGCACUGCCCUUGGCCUUCAAAAAUCUGGGCAAAUGUUUGUUGAUGCUGGGCAUUUCUUGGGUCUCUAGCUCUUCAGUGGACAUGGAACUUCUGGCUUUGAGGGCUAUCGGCAGGGACAAACAGCCGAGAAACUUUAUUCAAUUAAUUCCUAUGUCUGUGAUGUGGAUGCUAUGGUUGCAGAGGAAAUCAGAGUCUUCAACAACUACGAAUCCUCCAUAGAAUGCCUAAGGUUUUGGGGCUCUGCUUUUGUUGGGAAUAUUUUUGAUCUGUUGAAUCUCUCCCCCUUGUAAUCUGUCUGGGUAGCACCCCCUUGGUGCUUGAAUAAAUUUUUUUCUUUUCAAAAAAAAAAAA